AUGCACGCUGGCGGCGUGCCUAAUACAUGCAAGUCGAGCGAACGGACGAGAAGCUUGCUUCUCUGAUGUUAGCGGCGGACGGGUGAGUAACACGUGGAUAACCUACCUAUAAGACUGGGAUAACUUCGGGAAACCAGAGCUAAUACCGGAUAAUAUUUUGAACCGCAUGGUUCAAAAGUGAAAGACGGUCUUGCUGUCACUUAUAGAUGGAUCCGCGCUGCAUUAGCUAGUUGGUAAGGUAACGGCUUACCAAGGCAACGAUGCAUAGCCGACCUGAGAGGGUGAUCGGCCACACUGGAACUGAGACACGGUCCAGACUCCUACGGGAGGCAGCAGUAGGGAAUCUUCCGCAAUGGGCGAAAGCCUGACGGAGCAACGCCGCGUGAGUGAUGAAGGUCUUCGGAUCGUAAAACUCUGUUAUUAGGGAAGAACAUAUGUGUAAGUAACUGUGCACAUCUUGACGGUACCUAAUCAGAAAGCCACGGCUAACUACGUG
Molecule: ribosomal RNA, 496 nt
Filed under: uncultured bacterium
Lineage: Bacteria
Description: partial 16S ribosomal RNA
Rfam family: Bacterial small subunit ribosomal RNA
Source: RNAcentral